UUGGAGGGCAAGUCUGGUGCCAGCAGCCGCGGUAAUUCCAGCUCCAAUAGCGUAUAUUAAAGUUGUUGCCGUUAAAAAGCUCGUAGUUGAAUUUCGGGAUUGACGUGAUGGUCAUGCCUUAAGGGGUAUGAACUGUCACAGUUGAUUUCUCACCUUCUGGAGAAACUUGAUGUCCUUUAUUGGGUGUCUUGCGGAUCCAGGACCUUUACCUUGAAAAGAUUAGAGUGUUUAAAGCAGGCAUUUUUGCUCGAAUACAUUAGCAUGGAAUAAUAGAAUAGGACGGCAUGGUUCUAUUUUGUUGGUUUCUAGGAUCACCGUAAUGAUUAAUAGGGAUAGUUGGGGGCAUUAGUAUUCAAUUGUCAGAGGUGAAAUUCUUGGAUUUAUUGAAGACUAACUACUGCGAAAGCAUUUGCCAAGGAUGUUUUCAUUAAUCAAGAACGAAAGUUAGGGGAUCGAAGACGAUCAGAUACCGUCGUAGUCUUAACCAUAAACUAUGCCGACUAGGAAUCAGACGAUGUUAAUUUUUUAAUGACUCGUUUGGCACCUUACGGGAAACCAAAGUGUUUGGGUUC
This 572-nucleotide ribosomal RNA is filed under the name uncultured Glomeromycotina. Its description in RNAcentral is "SSU rRNA". It matches the Rfam family "Eukaryotic small subunit ribosomal RNA", at positions 548 to 1114 of the family's 1831-position model. The record is from RNAcentral. Lineage: Eukaryota; Fungi; Glomeromycota.